AUCUUAUAAGUUGCAGCCUGAAUUAGGCUGAUGGCUGGUGGCCAAAAGCUACCAGCCU
RNAcentral lists this small RNA (58 nucleotides) under Candidatus Moranella endobia PCIT. RNAcentral's name for it is "Pseudomonas sRNA P26". It matches the Rfam family "Pseudomonas sRNA P26". From Rfam's summary of the family: P26 is conserved across many Gammaproteobacteria species and appears to be consistently located between the DNA directed RNA polymerase (beta subunit) and 50S ribosomal protein L7/L12 genes. Lineage: Bacteria; Pseudomonadati; Pseudomonadota; Gammaproteobacteria; Enterobacterales; Enterobacteriaceae. The record is from Rfam by way of RNAcentral.